RNAcentral lists this ribosomal RNA (172 nucleotides) under Arnoglossus tenuis (dwarf lefteye flounder). RNAcentral's name for it is "partial 12S rRNA". The record is from RNAcentral. Lineage: Eukaryota; Metazoa; Chordata; Actinopteri; Pleuronectiformes; Bothidae.
CACCGCGGUUACACGGACAGCCCAAGUUGACAGACUGACGGCGUAAAGGGUGGUUAGGGAGAUAUAUAAACUAAAGCCGAAGAUCCCCAAGACUGUAGUACGUCACCUCGGAGGAAAGAAGAUCAACUACGAAAGUGGCUUUACAACACCUGACCCCACGAAAGCCAGGGCA